UACGUAGGUGGCAAGCGUUAUCCGGAUUUAUUGGGCGUAAAGCGAGCGCAGGCGGUUGCUUAGGUCUGAUGUGAAAGCCUUCGGCUUAACCGAAGAAGUGCAUCGGAAACCGGGCAACUUGAGUGCAGAAGAGGACAGUGGAACUCCAUGUGUAGCGGUGGAAUGCGUAGAUAUAUGGAAGAACACCAGUGGCGAAGGCGGCUGUCUGGUCUGCAACUGACGCUGAGGCUCGAAAGCAUGGGUAGCGAACAGG
RNAcentral lists this ribosomal RNA (253 nucleotides) under uncultured bacterium. RNAcentral describes it as "partial 16S ribosomal RNA". It matches the Rfam family "Bacterial small subunit ribosomal RNA", at positions 524 to 776 of the family's 1533-position model. The record is from RNAcentral. RNAcentral also lists the same sequence under 1 other name.